UUCGCAAUGCCCGAAAGGGUGACGAAGCGACGCCGCGUGUGGGAAGAAGGCCUUCGGGUUGUAAACCACUGUCGGGAGUUAAGAAAUGCAAGGAUAUGAAUAGUGUCUUUGCUUGACUAAGGCUCCGGAGGAAGCCACGGCUAACUCUGUGCCAGCAGCCGCGGUAAUACAGAGGCGGCAAGCGUUGUUCGGAAUUAUUGGGCGUAAAGAGCACGUAGGCGGCUAUGUAAGUCGGUUGUGAAAGCCUUCCGCUCAACGGGAGAACAGCAUCCGAUACUACAUGGCUUGAGUGCGGGAGGGGAGAGUGGAGCUUCUGGUGGAGCGGUGAAAUACGUAGAUAUCAGAAGGAACGCCGGCGGCGAAAGCGGCUCUCUGGCCCAUAACUGACGCUGAGUGUGCGAAAGCUAGGGGAGCAAACGGGAUUAGAUACCCCGGUAGUCCUAGCCGUAAACGAUGGGCACUAAGUAGAGGGGUUUU
RNAcentral lists this ribosomal RNA (477 nucleotides) under uncultured bacterium. Its description in RNAcentral is "bacterial SSU rRNA". It matches the Rfam family "Bacterial small subunit ribosomal RNA", at positions 365 to 832 of the family's 1533-position model. The record is from RNAcentral.